This 653-nucleotide long non-coding RNA is filed under the name Numida meleagris (helmeted guineafowl). RNAcentral describes it as "lncRNA (ENSNMEG00000014032.1)". The record is from RNAcentral. Lineage: Eukaryota; Metazoa; Chordata; Aves; Galliformes; Numididae.
GUUGGACUGGAUGAUCUUAGAGAUCUUUUCCAACCUCGGUGAUUCUAUGAUUUGUGCCUUACAGCUGCUCAGCAAGACCUCAGGUGGUAGCACUCAGCCCGUGGUGAGACUCCAAUCUCCAUUGGCCCGAGACUCAUUUUGGCUGUGCCCUGACAGAAGGCUUCAGAAUGAGCAGCGCAGCAUUACAAGGGACUGGUUCCUGGGGUCUCCUGCUGGGGUCUGCCUCUGGCCCAUAACCCCUGUGGUCCAACCCAUCCCUCUCCUUCUUCGUGCUGGAAACAGUGCAGCCACAGAACAGUGUUGUGUUCCCAGCAGCUCUAGUGUGGCAGAAGAAGGUACCUUCCCUAUGGAAACACUGGAGCUCUCUGUUAAGCAAACUGGCUGCUGGGACACUUGUCUGAAGCCAUGAGGCUGUCAUGGGUAUUUUGGAUGCUUUGUAGGAGCUUGUCUAGAAACCACUGGAGAACUAGAGAUCCAUUAGCUGCAAUGACCUAUAAAUAUUUGAUAGCCCAAGAUGGGGUCUUCCUGGUGGGUCCCUGCAACUGGUGUCUGCUGACCCGUGGCAUGCUGCUCGCUGGCAAUGUUUUGUGCUGUGUGCUUUGAUUAAUGAGCCCUCUUACAUCAUUUGAAUAAAUGGAUUCUGUCUCUUAACA